This 460-nucleotide ribosomal RNA is filed under the name uncultured bacterium. RNAcentral describes it as "partial 16S ribosomal RNA". It matches the Rfam family "Bacterial small subunit ribosomal RNA", at positions 338 to 795 of the family's 1533-position model. The record is from RNAcentral.
CCUACGGGUGGCAGCAGUGAGGAAUAUUGGUCAAUGGGCGGGAGCCUGAACCAGCCAAGUCGCGUGAGGGAAGACGGUCCUAUGGAUUGUAAACCUCUUUAGGCGGGGAGCAAUGCCGGGCACGCGUGCCCGGAGGGAGAGUACCCGCAGAAUAAGCAUCGGCUAACUCCGUGCCAGCCGCCGCGGUAAUACGGAGGAUGCGAGCGUUAUCCGGAUUUAUUGGGUUUAAAGGGUGCGUAGGCGGAUUUUUAAGUCAGCGGUAAAAUGUCCGGGCUCAACCCGGGCCGGCCGUUGAAACUGGGGAUCUUGAGUGGGCGAGAAGUAUGCGGAAUGCGUGGUGUAGCGGUGAAAUGCAGAGAUAUCACGCAGAACUCCGAUUGCGAAGGCAGCAUACCGGCGCCCGACUGACGCUGAGGCACGAAAGCGUGGGGAUCGAACAGGAUUAGAUACCCGAGUAGUC